Molecule: transfer-messenger RNA, 410 nt
Filed under: Candidatus Saccharimonadota bacterium
Lineage: Bacteria; Candidatus Saccharimonadota
Rfam family: transfer-messenger RNA
About the family: Bacterial tmRNA, also known as 10Sa RNA or SsrA, is named for its dual tRNA and mRNA-like properties.
Source: RNAcentral
GGGGCUGAAAUACGCUUUCGACGUGUGGACUUUAACAGAUCAUUUUGCAAGUCAGCUGGCAGACGUAUCUGCUAAAACUAAGUGCAAACAAUUUUGUUGCCAAGGUAAAAUCAGUUCCUGCAGUAUUUGCACAAGCAUUUGCUCAGCCUGCUUUUGCCCUUGCUGCCUAGUUUAGACUAGACAGCCAUCGCGAUGCACAGGCGACAUAGUGCAAAGCGGUGUUAUAUUCAUGUCGCUUCGCUACUCGAACAGGCAGCAGUGCUUGAGUAGUAACAUUUAUCUGCGCGACGAAUGGCCGCUUUUUGUCGGUUCUCUAGGCCAAGAGUCGUUAACUCCCAAAACCGAAUAUACUUGUAGGCGAAUGAUCAGUUACCGCGCGGACCGGGGUGCAAUACCCCGCAGCUCCACCA